Molecule: RNA transcript, 286 nt
Organism: Arabidopsis thaliana (thale cress)
Lineage: Eukaryota; Viridiplantae; Streptophyta; Magnoliopsida; Brassicales; Brassicaceae
Exons: 4
Source: RefSeq
UAAAGACUUAUGUGUGCAUUGAUUUGGGUGAUUGAAGUAGCUUAAGGUAGACAAGCUUAGGUUGAUUGAAGUUUGUGGGACAUCAGAAUCUGAAUUUCAUUGUGACUUGACCUCCAUGAUGGACCUUUGCUUUGACUUUUUUCGCGUAUCAAAGGAAAAGAAAGAUCUUAAGGAAACAAAAGGAAGUAAAAGUUUGGUUGAUGUGGUACCCCAAAAGAAGAGGAGACUUGAUGAUACACAUCUGAUGAUGAGCCUCAUGUAACAAAAGACAAGAGAAGAUAAAUCA